GGGGUUGUGGCUCAGAGGUAGAGCGCUCACGUACCAUACAGUGAGGUACUGGGUUCGAUUCCUCAGCACCA
Molecule: transfer RNA, 71 nt
Filed under: Marmota marmota marmota (Alpine marmot)
Lineage: Eukaryota; Metazoa; Chordata; Mammalia; Rodentia; Sciuridae
Also listed under: 1 other name
Rfam family: tRNA
About the family: Transfer RNA (tRNA) molecules are approximately 80 nucleotides in length.
Source: Rfam by way of RNAcentral